UCAGGGUCAAGCAGCUAGGUCUCCUGGCACCCAGGACAGUCUGAUGUACUCUGCAUUGGGCUUCAGAGAGGACUGUGACAGACAUAGAAGCACAGCCUGCUGAUCUCUACAACUUUAGUUUCUCAUGGAUUGUCAUGGAGAAGCAAUUUGUUUCUUCACAAGGGCUGCAAAUGCAAUGUGUAUCAAGGUUACAUUAUUCUGCUGCAAUAUAACGUUGAUUUUCAUCGACAAGUAAAUAAAUUGUCUCAGCAAACAUUCCUGCCUGGGAACGUAUUUGCUGGAUAGCUGGCAAAAAGCUAGAGCUGAAGGGAUGUGAACUUACACCAAGAUGAAUUCCUCUAUACAAAACCCAGGCAGUGCAGAGCUGGAAGUAGCAGUUGAUUCACUGGAGGGCCAUGCUACCAAACCCAGGCACUACUACAGGAUGGGGAACCCCCAGUGGGAAGGCAGCUGGAAGUUGAAAGACCUCAGGAUCUUGGUGGACACCAAGUUGAACAGCAUCCAGCAGUCUGCCUUUGUGGCACAUCCUCAGCAUCAGAGGAACUGUUGCCAGCAGCUCUGGUAAGAUGCAGCUGAGCUCCAAGGACAGGAGGGACAUGGACACACUGAAAUGUGCCAAAUGAAGGAUCGAGAGGAGCAUGAAGAGAUCAGAUCAUUUAGUUUAUGAGAAGAGGCUGAGAGAGCUGGAGUUAUUUAGUCUGGAGUAGGGAAGGCUGGAGUUAGUGGAGAGCUUAUCAACGGGCACAAAAUAAAACACAGGGAAUUCCAUUUCAAAAUAGAAAACCCCUUAUUUGUAGAAUGGUCAAACACCAGAAUAGGCUGCUCAGAGAAACUGUGGGGUCUCUGCUCUUGAAAAUAUUAAAAACGCUACCAGAUAUGAUCCUGAGCAAUUCUGCCCUGAGCAGUGUUUAGACCAGACAAUCAGCAGAGCACCCUUCUGACCUCAGUGGUUCUAUGAUUUUAUUCCCAGUUGUUAACACCAAAUAAAUUACUGAGCUGCCAAUGAGUUGAAAUGACCUGGUAAAGAACUAAAACUGAUUCUGUUUAGAGUGAAGGUUUACUGGACUGGAGUGGAUUAGGCGAGCCAGACAGGUCUGUCAACUGGAUAAAUUGUCUUCUUCCUUUUGCUCUGAGCUCCUCCCUUUGGCACACUCAGAGCAAUAGACCGUGCUAUAAUGCAAAGCCAGGACCAGAGUUUAUGAUCUCUAGGAACUGUUUUUGUUACACGAAUAACAAAUGGAACAGCAAGGCUUUGCAAGAUCUUCUUGACAUACCAGGUCAAAACCUCUUCAGCUAUCAGUCUCCCAUUCUCAGAUUCUUGAGCCAGUGGUAUGGGAACACUAGCCACAGGGUGGGUUUGGCAAUUAAGCACCUAAAGAGUUUCAAUAAGGAUCUAUGAAAACAUGAGGAUUCUCAGAAAAAUGUCUUUCAUUCUGGAAAAGUCAAGGAAAUCAUGAAACCAUAAGGUAGCAGAAAAAAGUUCUGCAACUAUUUGUUUUACCUUAACUUGACAAACAGGUAUAUGCUUCUGGUUUCUUCUUCUCUCCUCAUGGAUAAGAAGCUAUGGCUUUCAAAAUACAAUUUCAAUGUGGAGUGCAAAUUCUCCAUACUCCCAGCUCACUUCUAACUCAGAUAAAAUACAAACUACUCACUCUAAUGUUCAAGAGCCAAGAAAUGCCUUGUGGUUAAGGCAAGUUUGGCCAUUAGUCACUUUUUGAGUCCCAGUUCUGCCAGCAACAGUAUGUGACAUCAGCAAGUAAGCUUCCUUGGUAUGGGAAAGUACUUCACUAUGAAUUUCCCUGGGUUAUAAUCUUGUUCCAUUAGAGCUAAUCCUGUCCUUCGAGCAGGAUAUUGAUUCAGAUUCUGCUUUCUCUCUUAUUGACUGUACUUGGCACAAGGAGGAAGCGGGCUGUGACUCUGGACUGGACCCCAACUGCUCUCUGCCUCUAGCCCCAUCAACUCGUCUUGGAGCAAAGCACGUGCUUCCAUCACACCGUUGUGUUUUGACAGGUAGAAUUGCAUCAAAUGGCUCUUCCUUCAAAAUGCUGGUACACUGCUGCAGGUGCAGGACAGCAAAAGACUAUCAGUAGAGCAGGCUGAAAUGUGAUCUGGUGAUUUCACUGGCUUCCCUAAAGUUAAUUCUUCGGGGACUUGACAGAAGCCGUGAAAUUAUGCCAAGAAUUAAAGCCAGAGCAAAGUUGGAAGGAUGAGUCUGGCUCCUGUCUGAAUCAAAUCACAGUGCGUGCACGCAACAAGUUGGCUGCUGCUCACAUACAGACCAAAGCUCUUGCAGUCCACUCUGCAAAAUCUCUGGUGUGUGCCACAUACAUGCAUGUGUCCAGCAGGGUGAAUGUAAACAUGCACAGAGAAUGCUGGACGACUCCUUAGAAAGCGCAUUGUCACCAUGGGAAGACUGCUAUGUGUGAUGGUUAAAAGAUGAGUGGAAAUCAGGGCUGGAACCAGUCUCUGUUUGACCUAGAGCUCUGGGUUGGAGAUAAAUGGAUGCCAAAUCUCUGUCACAACUGCUACAUCAAGAACAAAAUGGGCGCUUUUUUUCCUGUUGAUUUAGCCAGCCUGACCCCUGACUUUUCAUAAAGGUCAUGUUACACUGGCAGCCGAGGAAGGCUGCAAGUUUCUGGAGCCACAACCUGCAAAUACCCACGACCGACAAUCCUUUGUUCUCUCCUGGGUCAGCGAGGAAUUUCUCUGCAAAAUACUCAUCUUUUUGGUGGCUGCUCUUUGAUAGGAAGGAACACACAAGGCCCCCACUGUGGCAUAGCUUUUCCACAUUUCUCCUGAAAAUGAACAGUGUUUCCUAAAGCCAAUGGCAAGAUGGCACGCCUGCUUGGCUAAUGAUAUGGGAGGCAGCAGGGAAGGCUGUUUCUUUGGGAGAAAAAGAGUGAAGCAGUCUCUCAGGAUCGUUCUGAGUAUUUUCUUCCACAGAGAUAUUGUGACUUGAGACCUGAAGUUAUGUGAAGCAAAUCUUGAAUAGCUUUCUUGGACUCUGUAAGCAAAGUGGGACAAAUCAAACUGUUCACUGAUUCUGAUUAGGAGAUUUGAGCUCAAAGGAAAUCUUGAAUAGAAAGUCUAAUUUUACAGCUUCUGUCAUGUUUCUCCCUAAGACUCCUAAAGUAGGACUAGGCCACAGGAAAGCACUAGUGCUAGCUGCUUCAGCAUUUCAAUUAUUUAUUCUGCUUACAGAAAAUCUGGUUCUCUUCAAAAAGUUGCUCGUCCUACUUAUAAGUCAUGAUGGUGGCACUGCUCUGAGUCAUACUUCAGAGGUCCCAGAUGAGUGGGAGCUGUGUGGACGUGAUGUGACCACAGUGCCUUGGGCUGCAUGGAGCUGGGGGAUGUUCUGGCAGUGGCAUCUGGCAUGGAGUGUUUCUGUGACGUCUGUUCUGGCACAUACAUACAUUAGAACAAACAUGUGCUUGGUCUAGAUAAACUAUUUGCUUUUAACCUCAGAGAUAUGAUUGAAACCCAACAGAAACUGAUAAAAGUUUCCUGGGGAUUUCUGUGAGUGGUAGAGGCAGCUCUCUUUAACCACAAAUGUUGGCUCAAGCUGAUAUGAGAGUUGGAGAGCCCUGUGUGUCUGGGCUUCACAAGGGUCUUUUUGUUUUGCAGAACAUUCUCUUCUGCAUCUGGGAAGUUCUUGCAGGCUGUGUUAGAUGACAAAUUUUGCUCAUUUGAACAACUUAGUUGCCCUAUGCCAGAAGUUCUUAGAGACAGUUUUAUGUUCUUUUAGAGAAUUUGGUGCAAAGUGAGCAAAAAGAAUAAAAGUUCUUCUCAUCCUCGAGUGAGCCCUAUGUGGGCUCCACUCCUUGCAUUCUUCUGUCCAGGUUGCUAGAAGGUUCUGGAGCCAUAGCCUACAGAAUCACAGAAUCACAGGAGCUGGAAGGGACCUCUGGAGAUCAAAUCCUCUGCUAAAGCCAGUUCCCUAGAGUAGGUUUUGCAGGAAAGUGACGAGGCAGGUUUUUGUAUAUCUCUACAACCUCUCUGGGCAGUCUUUACAUCUCAAUGAUAGUUCAAGAGCUCAAGCUGCAUGCUUAGCAGAUGCAAGAGGUUGCAUUUGGCAAAGGCACAACCUGUUUCUAAAAUUGUCUCCAAGAUCCCUUGUAUGUGUUUGUGUCUCCCAGAUGGACCAGCUGGCUGGUAUUUUACGGGGUGUGAUUGUUUGUUUAGCUAAUGAAGUGGGAAAAACAAAGAGCUGAGACCCUGGGCAGCCCUGAGAGAGAGAAGAAACCUAUCAGUCAGGGUGUUGAACUGCAGCCCCAAGAGACAGUUUUGAUUCCUGACUCAAGAGAGUCAUGGAUGAAAUGCAGAAAAGGAUGCCUCAGCACAAAAAGAGGAGGAAGAUGCUGGGAGCUGCCUGCUUUUCCUGUUUAUCUGACUGGGAGAAACUAUUGUAAUGAUGUGUGAUGGAGAACAGCUUCUGUCCGCUGAUGCUUACUCAGAGCAGACGUGAUCUACUUCCACAAACAUAUCCAGUCUCCCUUCUGGAAGGAAAGAACAUGCUCACAAAAGUGUGGUUUCCCUUCCUCAUGACCUGUGCCCUACCAUUUAAUGAAGGGCUGUUCCUUUAGUUGUUUUUCUGAUGCUGAAGGAUUGAGUGUGAAGCUCCUGCCUGGAGGAGCCUUGCUGAAGAGCAGAAAGCACAAGGAAAACAGUAAAAUGUCUUCCUGUGUCCCCACCCUCUUUAAUUUUCUGGUUUGACUUCAAAUGCAGACUGCCAUCGUUUCCACAUGGAACAGCCACAUGAAAAGCACCACUAAACAGUUCUGAGUUUCUCAGCAAGAAUCACAGCAGCUAAAUAUAUUUAAUCUGUGGGUAUUGUUCAUGUUGGCUUUAAUUUCCUGUUCUCAAAAGGUUUAGGAAUUUAAACCCCUGAGUCAUUACUGAAGCCAUUAAUGCUUGAAGCCUUUUUCAGAAAUGAAGAUAAAGGAAGUGAUAUUAAUACCAGCUUAGCAUGAAUUGAGCCAGAACAGCUCUGUGAGAAAUUCAUUGCCAUCCCAGAGACAUCACUUGGUUUCUAACCAUGACGAAAGCUGCCCAGAAGCAGGUAGGUGGAUGAGAUCAUUCUCCCUGAGGUGAAUAAGAUGCUUCCCAUUUAAAACUGGGGGAAAAAAAAAAGUCUCUCUGGCAAGUUAUGGGCUGCAACAUCCCUAUCUGGAAACUUCUAGAGCACUCGACUGUCCUUUUGUUUCUAAAAAUUGCAGUAUAUUUUUAAGCAGUGAUUUCUCAGAGUUUAUUCAUGAGAGUUCUCAGCUCAGAUCACGAAGGAACCUCUCCUCCCACCCUGACAUGAUGCUGCCUUCAGGCUGAGCUCAAAGCGGGACAGAACAGAGCUUUAUCAAGAGGAAGAGAAAUAUAUGAGAUGCAGAACCAUUUUGGUGUUGAGCCCUUGCUGUCAAAUGAGAAUAUGGUGAAAAGGAGAAGGAGCAUGACAAACAGCAGUGUGUUGUGGCAGCUCAUGUCCAUCAGGAAUGGCUGGAGCAGCUUCCCAUCAGAAUUCAUGUCAGAGGUUGAGGAGAAAGCUUGCAGCAGCCACACCAUAAGGGUAUCCUGGACAACUUUCCAGGCAGGUGUGCACAGCAUGUGCUCAGAGAGGACUCCUGGCUCAGCCUGAUAUGAUAAGCUGAAGUGGAUGAAUUGCAUGGUUGCUGCUGCCUCUUGAGAGGUGCUCUUAUUUUACGUCAGGCCCUGUGAGGCCAUCCAGGGCAGUUUGGCUUCGCUCUGUAUUUGCAAAGCCCUGCAGCAUGCUCAUUCCUGUUGGGCUAGUUUUAAGGACUGUCCUCUUCUUGCCUCUGUUCUCCAUCAUCAAUUAGCUUGAGUCUCUGAGACUACAGCCCAUGACCACUUUUUUUCCUUUCACUCUGCAGCUAUUCCUGCUCUUGUAACAAGCUUUCACAGAGCCAGCAAGCAUCAGGCUACAUCUGAGCCUCCGGGGCUGUCUCUCCAUCUGUUUGUUUAAUGACGCGCAGCAGCCUCAUCUCUGAAUUUGCACCCUCGGGACAAUAAUCCACUCUGAUGCUCAGGCCAGCCAGCUAUUCUGUGAUGAGGCUGUGGCUGAUGCAUUGUAGGUUGGAGGAGAUUUUAAAACACAUAUUCUGGAUUACAUUGUGGCUCAGAUUCUUUGUGGAAAAGAAGGGGCAUGAGGACUUGCGGUGUUGCUGCUAUUCUGUAAAGCUGAAUGUGGGUUCACAAUGACGGUGACAGCAGCAGAUCUUGAUUUCAAAAGGCUUUUACACAGUUUCAUGAAGCAGCGAGGGGUAGAUGGCUUGCUGUGCUUGCUGAGCAAUUCAGAAGCACCACCUUCAGGAAAUAUUUAUGGCAGAAUGGGCCACCUGAGAUGGCUUUGUAGCUGUCCUCCACCCUCUGAAUGCCAUGCAGAUAGUAGAGGAAAGAAAAGGUACUUCUGUAUCCAGAGCUUGGAAGAACCCCAAGCUGGAGGUCAGGGGUGGAGGUGGGAGGAAUGGUGAGCAAAAGGGCAGUGGUACCACAUGAUCUCUGAAGGUGGUCCUUGAAAUUACUCAGUGAUAGUAAUGAAGCUUUAGGGAAGGGAGACCUCAGAAGAGUCCUGGUUUAAAAAUCCUUCUUUGCUACCUGCUUGGUUCCUACCUUUUUGGUGGGAGCUUGUGGUGGCUGCAGGGACCAUUCUGUGGAUGAGCAAAAUAUCCCUCAGGAAAGAAGUCCCCUCCAAACGCAUAAUGGACUGCAUGUAAGUCUCUCCACUGAGCAGAGUGUAAAAGGUAUGACAGAAGAACAGCACGAUCCUCCUCCUUCCCUCCCCUUCCUUGCCCUUUGAUUCAAGGAGCAGGAGCUGGUUUGUGAAUGAGGAGCUGAAACUCAUUCAGACUGAGCGAAUAACUGAUAAAGGAUGCUCGUUAGCUGAAGCCAGCCACAAAAAGGUAGCAGUUCUCAGGAGGGGGCUUAUUUCCCAGUGAUUCACUGGUGUAUAACAGAUGAAAGGAACAAAUAAAAUACUGCAGACGUGCAGAGCUUUGAUCUUUCUGCUCUUUCUUUCCUUUUCCCAGGGGUGAGAGCGGUGUUGUUGAAGUGAAUGGAGAGGAAAAGGCUGCUCUGACGGCAGGGCUUGUGGAGAUGUCAGGAGCCCCAGUCCGGAAUCAUUCUUUGGAGCUUGACAGAGAUUGGCCAUAGUGUAUUUCUGUAGGCUUUGCAGCACUCACCCUGCUUCCCCUUGCACUGAUAUUAACCUGCUUGCAGAUCUGCUGGAGCAGGGCUGGGGCAUGAAUGAACAUCUCACUGUUAUAUUUCUCUCUGCAAGCUCAGAACUGUAAGCAUGAAAAAGUAAAAUUAAUUUCUGGGUCAAAAGCUCUUGUCUUCCUAAUUUCUGUUUCAUCUGCUGUAGCUCGCAGGGAGCUGGCAGCCUUCAGUCUGGGGCCCUCAACACUCACCAGCUUGGAAUUUAUUUUUUUCUUACUGUGACUAAUCUUUGGGAUGAAUACGUUUAAGUUUUGUCUCUGUGGAUGUGAUGAAGAGAGAAAUUUGUUUCCAUUAUAGAGAAACUGCUACAGUGAGACUCCCCCAGCCCUGGGGCUUGAAUGGAAAAAAGCACAAACAUCAGUAGUGUGCUGAGAGUGUCCUCAUGCUUCUGGGUUAUCUGUCCACUGUUGUCUGUCAGUCUGGCUGACAUUACACAAAGGAAAGCUACCAGUUCAUGUUAGCACAUUAUUUCUGCAUAUUGAAAUUUAAAUAUACAUAUAUUUCCUUAAGAAGACAUGGUUGUGUCUCUCUUAAAAGUGCAUUUCUUUUCAUUAACUCAUCGGAUCUGGCUUUUUUCCUAAGCCUUCUGCUCUCCCCACGUCUUAUCUAAGUAUCUUUCCCCUACUCCACCUUACUCUGACCACUGGAUUUGCAGCCCCAGUUUAUCUUGACCUCUCCUGCCAGUCCCUCUGUGCAAUGCCUGCUGUUUGCUCUGUGUUUCCUGCAGAAGUGGGUGCUCUUCCCCUGCAGCAAUGAAGUCGUGGUGCCUCGUGCACACUGGGAUGUGGGGCCUGGCUCUGCAGGUCUCCCUCCUCCCCAGAUGUCAUUCUGUCAGACUGAUCACCUGCUUCCACUUGUUAUAUGACAACAAAACGUAACAGAAUAUAGGCAGGAAGGUUCAGCCUCUGCUGCCAUACCACCAACCUCCAUCUCUGAUGUCAUGGGUCAAGAUCAUAAAAUAGGAGGCAUUAGUUUCAGAGCAGCCCAUGUAUAUAAGUGUCUCUGGGGGUUCUAGAUUUGGGUGCACAGACAAAGCCACCAUGUGCAGCUAUGGGUUGUUUUUCAGCUGCCUCAUAGAUCUUACCUGUCAGACUUUUUAGCAGAAAUCCUAUGGUUUCUGCAUGUUUAUCAUUUGAGUGGUUCUCUAAACAAUUAUUCUCUUUCUGACCAGGACUGACAGAAGGACCGACUGCCAAAAGCCAGGUACGCAGAAGUGACAAUGACUGUGAUCAGACCCCACUAUGGAAGCAGGUGGGCAGCUCAAUAGAUGGAUGCCUAUGGCAGGCAGGACUGGUUGGUCUAUCCUUGUGUUAUUUAACAUUUAAAAAUAAAUAAAUAAAUAAAAAUCAAUUUAAAAUGGC
Molecule: non-coding RNA, 8585 nt
Organism: Coturnix japonica (Japanese quail)
Lineage: Eukaryota; Metazoa; Chordata; Aves; Galliformes; Phasianidae
Source: RefSeq, a predicted model, not a curated record